Long non-coding RNA from Quercus lobata, 389 nucleotides. RefSeq lists it as uncharacterized. The transcript is spliced from 3 exons. Lineage: Eukaryota; Viridiplantae; Streptophyta; Magnoliopsida; Fagales; Fagaceae. The record is from RefSeq and is a predicted model, not a curated record.
CCCUUCUUCAGCCAUCGACCCACCCCAUGUUCAGCCUGAGCAGCCUGUUGGGUUAGCUGCAGCGGCAGAAGGUUGGCCAAAAUGCAUAUCUAAGGCACCUCCUUGUGGGACAGGGGGGCACAAACAUGGACACAACGCUGGGCCGGAGGCAUCUGACGAAGGACAUGCAAGACCUCCUCCUUAUUAUACGAGAAAGCGUAAGGUUCAAAAAAGGUGAAAGGUACAGUUGGGACAUUAGCUGGAGGUAGAUAUUCAUGUGUUUGUGAAUGAUACAAUUCUUGUUGCUGUUAUCUUCGAGUAGCUACAAACUUGUUGCAUCAAUGAUUCUUUGUUGACAAUAUUCUUCUUGUUUCCUCAGCUCUUAUAUUUAUUUAUAGUUUCUCCAUUUC